RNAcentral lists this ribosomal RNA (253 nucleotides) under uncultured bacterium. Its description in RNAcentral is "partial 16S ribosomal RNA". It matches the Rfam family "Bacterial small subunit ribosomal RNA", at positions 524 to 776 of the family's 1533-position model. The record is from RNAcentral.
UACGUAGGGCGCAAGCGUUGUCCGGAAUUAUUGGGCGUAAAGAGCUCGUAGGCGGCCUGUUGCGUCCGCUGUGAAAUCCCGGGGCUCAACCCCGGGCCUGCAGUGGAUACGGGCUGGCUGGAGGCAGGCAGGGGAGAACGGAAUUCCUGGUGUAGCGGUGAAAUGCGCAGAUAUCAGGAGGAACACCGGUGGCGAAGGCGGUUCUCUGGGCCUGUUCUGACGCUGAGGAGCGAAAGCGUGGGGAGCAAACAGG